GCCGCCGCAGCCCCUCCCCAACCUUGCGCAUCGCCAACGGCCGCACCACAUCUCCAAUGUCGGAGGACAGCACACUCCCUCACCUCCUCCGUCGACGGACGCCACCGACCACCGGCUCUCACAGCGCCUCACUCCUGCGGCAUGUCUCCAGGUGCAGCAACAUCAGCAUUCCUUUCUCGCGACUGUUUUAUUUUCUGAAUUUUUGCUAGUACGGACACCCACAGAGGAAGAGAAGCACCUCUGAAUCUGAAGUUUACAUGAAACUGAACUUCUACCUCUUUGUCACAGGAGGGGUCAUCGGAGUCCUUAAUCACUUGCACUACUUUCUUUUAGCAUCUUGUCCAUGGAGUCAAGGCGCUGUGUGGUGUGCAAUCUCGUUUCUGGAUGGGGCACAGAAAUCUCGCUUUUUGCUCCUGUAGCAGAAAUCUCGCUUCCCUGCUGCUGUUAUGACCAUGUAUUGUUUCAAAAUGACCUUUUGUCUGAAGUUCGGUAGUAUCUGUUGGUGCAAAAAAGGUGCUUCGGUUUCAUGGGUCCUUCAAAAAUGAAUGGGAAAAGGAGUUUUCUUCUCCAAAAUGCAUCACUGCUCUGAAGUGCUAAUUCUUCUUGUGUGCCUCUAUCGAGGCUUGUGUUUCAUGGAGAGAGAGACAUAGAAAUUGUGGAAGUCAUUAAUGUUUCCUUUCUGUGUAUGUACUUCAGAAACAUUUUGUGUGAGAUAAAAAGGGUAAUGACACAUUUUUUGAGAGAUACAGAGUGCUUUGGGAUCCAAUGUUUUUCUACACAAAAUAGUGCAUUUGUGUCUCG
Molecule: long non-coding RNA, 801 nt
Filed under: Triticum aestivum (bread wheat)
Lineage: Eukaryota; Viridiplantae; Streptophyta; Magnoliopsida; Poales; Poaceae
Description: long non-coding RNA (TAES_LNC018311)
Source: RNAcentral